Molecule: long non-coding RNA, 284 nt
Filed under: Capsella rubella
Lineage: Eukaryota; Viridiplantae; Streptophyta; Magnoliopsida; Brassicales; Brassicaceae
Description: long non-coding RNA (CRUB_LNC002056)
Source: RNAcentral
AAAGUAAAAGGUUCCAAUGGAUUCAGUUCUUGUGGAUUUAGGAAGCUUAUUGAGGUAACUCCUUUGCGUUUAUGAUUUUUCAUCAUCUUAUUUCUUUGUGUUAAAAGUAUAUAUCAGAUUUUUUUUUUUUUUGUCAACAAUACUAGCAAUAUAUAUCAGAUUUAAAAUGGAAAUAUAUGUUCCUUAAAAACUGUCACUACUUUCAACUAUCUUAUAUCCGUUUAACUUUAAAUGAUGUUUUAGCCAAAAAAAAUAAUAUUUUCAUUAUAAGUGAUGUUUUAACU